UACGAAGGGGGCUAGCGUUGUUCGGAAUCACUGGGCGUAAAGCGCACGUAGGCGGACUUUCAAGUCAGGGGUGAAAUCCCGGGGCUCAACCUCGGAACUGCCUUUGAUACUGUUGGUCUCGAGUCCGAUAGAGGUGAGUGGAAUUCCUAGUGUAGAGGUGAAAUUCGUAGAUAUUAGGAAGAACACCGGUGGCGAAGGCGGCUCACUGGAUCGGUACUGACGCUGAGGUGCGAAAGCGUGGGGAGCAAACAGG
Molecule: ribosomal RNA, 253 nt
Filed under: uncultured bacterium
Lineage: Bacteria
Description: partial 16S ribosomal RNA
Rfam family: Bacterial small subunit ribosomal RNA
Source: RNAcentral